This 468-nucleotide ribosomal RNA is filed under the name uncultured bacterium. Its description in RNAcentral is "partial 16S ribosomal RNA". It matches the Rfam family "Bacterial small subunit ribosomal RNA", at positions 28 to 507 of the family's 1533-position model. The record is from RNAcentral.
GACGAACGCUGGCGGCGUGCUUAACACAUGCAAGUCGAACGGAAAGGCCCUGCUUUUGUGGGGUGCUCGAGUGGCGAACGGGUGAGUAACACGUGAGUAACCUGCCCUUGACUUUGGGAUAACUUCAGGAAACUGGGGCUAAUACCGGAUAGGAGCUCCUGCUGCAUGGUGGGGGUUGGAACGUUUCGGCGGUUGGGGAUGGACUCGGGGCUUAUCAGCUUGUUGGUGGGGUAGUGGCUUACCAAGGCGUUGACGGGUAGCCGGCCUGAGAGGGUGACCGGCCACAUUGGGACUGAGAGACGGCCCAGACUCCUACGGGAGGCAGCAGUGGGGAAUAUUGCACAAUGGGCGGAAGCCUGAUGCAGCAACGCCGCGUGCGGGAUGACGGCCUUCGGGGUGUAAACCGCUUUCGCCUGUGACGAAGCGUGAGUGACGGUAAUGGGUAAAGAAGCACCGGCUAACUACGUG